This 253-nucleotide ribosomal RNA is filed under the name uncultured bacterium. RNAcentral's name for it is "partial 16S ribosomal RNA". It matches the Rfam family "Bacterial small subunit ribosomal RNA", at positions 524 to 776 of the family's 1533-position model. The record is from RNAcentral.
UACGAGGGGGGCGAGCGUUGUUCGGAAUUAUUGGGCGUAAAGGGCGCGUAGGCGGUGCGGUAAGUCACCUGUGAAACCUCUGGGCUUAACUCAGAGCCUGCAGGCGAAACUGCCGUGCUGGAGUGUGGGAGAGGUGCGUGGAAUUCCCGGUGUAGCGGUGAAAUGCGUAGAUAUCGGGAAGAACACCCGUGGCUAAGGCGGCUCUCUAGUACGGUACUGACGCUGAGACGCGAAAGCGUGGGGAGCGAACAGG